Non-coding RNA from Camellia sinensis, 485 nucleotides. Lineage: Eukaryota; Viridiplantae; Streptophyta; Magnoliopsida; Ericales; Theaceae. The record is from RefSeq and is a predicted model, not a curated record.
CUCUUUUUUACCCCUUUAAAUCUAAUCGUCCAAAACAAAGAAAACCCUAACCUAAUCAAACCCACUCACUCAUCACUCAUCAUCAGAACUGUAUCUAUCUAUCUCCUCUCUUCCUCUCGGUCUCUCUCUCACUCUCACUCGCGAUUUUCAUCUGUGCACUCACUCAACGAUCGAAUCUCUCUCUCACAAGAUCGACCGAUCGAUCGACCUCAUCGCACACAGUCUCUUACUCUCUGGUUUUGCAUCCACACCGAUCGGCUCUCUCUCACAGUUUAAAUGGAGGAUAGUAUUCAAUCUCCCGCAAUCAAUCUUGUACCUCCGGAAUCCUCUAAUUCUCAAAUGAAUCCCCUCUUAGUCGAACCCAAACAUGAACCUGAACCUAAGCCUCCUAGACCCCCAAAGAGAAAGAGUGAGGGUGGAGGGGGGAGAGCACCAUCCACAGUUUGGGAUCAUUUUGACAAGGUUGUAGGGACCGAUGGGAAGCG